RNAcentral lists this small RNA (563 nucleotides) under Pongo abelii (Sumatran orangutan). Its description in RNAcentral is "processed transcript". Lineage: Eukaryota; Metazoa; Chordata; Mammalia; Primates; Hominidae. The record is from RNAcentral.
GCAAUUUCUGGAAAAUUAUGAAAAAGAAGACAUAACAGUAGCAGAACUGGAAGGAAACUCAAAUUCUUUGUGGACCAUCAGCCCACCCAAAACUUAAGUCUGGGUGCAAAAUCGGAAAUAGCAACAGAUAAGCUUUCUUUUCCUCUUAAAAAUAUUACUCGAAAGAAUAUCGCUAAAAUGAUAGCGGGCAACAGCACAGAAAGUUCAAAAACACCAGUGACCAUAGAAAAGAUUUAUCCAUAUUAUGUGAAAGCACCUAGUGAUUCUAACUCAAAACCUAUAAAGCAACUUUUAUCUGAAAAUAAUUUCAUGGAUAUUACCAUCAUUUUGUCCAGAGACAAUACAACUAAAUAUAACAGUGAGUGGUGGGUUCUCAACCUAACUGGAAACAGAAUAUACAAUCCAAACUCUCAGGCCCUGGAACUGGUGGUCUUCAAUGACAAAGUCAGUCCCCCAAGUCUGGGGUUCCUGGCUGGCUAUGGUAUUAUGGGAUUAUACGCUUCAGUUGUCCUUGUGAUUGGAAAAUUUGUCCGUGAAUUCUUCAGUGGGAUUUCUCACUCCAU